This 673-nucleotide ribosomal RNA is filed under the name Acinetobacter baumannii. RNAcentral describes it as "bacterial SSU rRNA". It matches the Rfam family "Bacterial small subunit ribosomal RNA", at positions 64 to 731 of the family's 1533-position model. Lineage: Bacteria; Pseudomonadati; Pseudomonadota; Gammaproteobacteria; Moraxellales; Moraxellaceae. The record is from RNAcentral.
GAGCGGGGGAAGGUAGCUUGCUACUGGACCUAGCGGCGGACGGGUGAGUAAUGCUUAGGAAUCUGCCUAUUAGUGGGGGACAACAUCUCGAAAGGGAUGCUAAUACCGCAUACGUCCUACGGGAGAAAGCAGGGGAUCUUCGGACCUUGCGCUAAUAGAUGAGCCUAAGUCGGAUUAGCUAGUUGGUGGGGUAAAGGCCUACCAAGGCGACGAUCUGUAGCGGGUCUGAGAGGAUGAUCCGCCACACUGGGACUGAGACACGGCCCAGACUCCUACGGGAGGCAGCAGUGGGGAAUAUUGGACAAUGGGGGGAACCCUGAUCCAGCCAUGCCGCGUGUGUGAAGAAGGCCUUAUGGUUGUAAAGCACUUUAAGCGAGGAGGAGGCUACUUUAGUUAAUACCUAGAGAUAGUGGACGUUACUCGCAGAAUAAGCACCGGCUAACUCUGUGCCAGCAGCCGCGGUAAUACAGAGGGUGCGAGCGUUAAUCGGAUUUACUGGGCGUAAAGCGUGCGUAGGCGGCUUAUUAAGUCGGAUGUGAAAUCCCCGAGCUUAACUUGGGAAUUGCAUUCGAUACUGGUGAGCUAGAGUAUGGGAGAGGAUGGUAGAAUUCCAGGUGUAGCGGUGAAAUGCGUAGAGAUCUGGAGGAAUACCGAUGGCGAAGGCAGCCAUCUG